RNAcentral lists this ribosomal RNA (469 nucleotides) under uncultured Alphaproteobacteria bacterium. RNAcentral's name for it is "bacterial SSU rRNA". It matches the Rfam family "Bacterial small subunit ribosomal RNA", at positions 9 to 524 of the family's 1533-position model. The record is from RNAcentral. Lineage: Bacteria; Pseudomonadati; Pseudomonadota; Alphaproteobacteria.
GAGUUUGAUCAUGGCUCAGAACGAACGCUGGCGGCAUGCCUAACACAUGCAAGUCGAACGAGACCUUCGGGUCUAGUGGCGCACGGGUGCGUAACGCGUGGGAAUCUGCCCUUGGGUUCGGAAUAACAGUUAGAAAUGACUGCUAAUACCGGAUGAUGACUUCGGUCCAAAGAUUUAUCGCCCAGGGAUGAGCCCGCGUAGGAUUAGCUUGUUGGUGAGGUAAAAGCUCACCAAGGCGACGAUCCUUAGCUGGUCUGAGAGGAUGAUCAGCCACACUGGGACUGAGACACGGCCCAGACUCCUACGGGAGGCAGCAGUGGGGAAUAUUGGACAAUGGGCGAAAGCCUGAUCCAGCAAUGCCGCGUGAGUGAUGAAGGCCUUAGGGUUGUAAAGCUCUUUUACCCGGGAUGAUAAUGACAGUACCGGGAGAAUAAGCCCCGGCUAGCUCCGUGCCAGCCGCCGCUGUAAC